GGAUGUUGCGACACACGUUAACGUUCUUCCUGGUAUCUACAAUGACGGGUGGGAGGUUACUUGUGUGGAAACAUUCAGGCAUGAAUGAACAAAUGCAUGACAACCGAGCGGCUUUCUUUGUUCAGACAGACUCUGAAAGGGUAUGGUAGUAAGUGUCACAGGCGCAAGAACUGCAACACUGCUGGGAUUUUCAUGCUCAACGGUUUCCUGUGUGUAUGAAGAAUCAUCCACCACCCAGAGGACAUCCAGCCAACUUGACAAAACUCCCCAAAACUGUGGGAAGCAUUGGAGUCAGACACCUUGUAGAGUCAAUUCCCUGACGAAUUGAAGCUGUUCUGAGGGCAUAGGGGACGAAGGGGGUGCAACUCAAUAUUAGGAAGGUGUUCCUAAUGUUUGGUAUAUGUUUGGAGAAGAUCCCAGAGAAUGAUCCCAUGAAUGUUAUGGCUGAUAAUUAUAUAUAUUUAAUUUGCUUGUUAUUUUUGGCUAAACAGUUUGAUUAAAUAUAUAAAGUUUUAAUGUAUUUUCUUGGGAGGCCAAACUAUCUGGAUUCAGGUUCCAUGCUUGAUUAGGGGAACAAAUACAGUCCAUAUGUGCAUGACAGAAGAAUUGGAGAAAAAAAUCAGCAUGGAAAUAGCCUGCUAAUGUGUUAUAAAGAGUCCUCGUACGUGUUUAUAACAAUUACAUGUAUAAUACAAUAUAAUGUUUCUGCUGUGCAUUUUCUAUUAAAUACCAGCCCUUGAAUUAAAAUGAAUUGAUCAAAUCAUAGCCUACUUACCCAGAUGAGGAGACGGAUCAGGACAUUUUUCAAACUUAUUCCACAAAGUUGUAGUGUUAGUAGUUGUUGUAGUAGUUGUAGUAGCUGCAUUGGGUAAAUGUAUAUCCUUAAACUUCGGAGUUCGCAAUAUUACAACGCUGUUAUUAAGGUCGUGUUGUCCAUUAUCUUGCGGUGGAAGUGUCACGGUAAUAAAAGCUGUUUCAAUUCG
Molecule: long non-coding RNA, 983 nt
Organism: Oncorhynchus nerka (sockeye salmon)
Lineage: Eukaryota; Metazoa; Chordata; Actinopteri; Salmoniformes; Salmonidae
Exons: 2
Source: RefSeq, a predicted model, not a curated record